RNAcentral lists this long non-coding RNA (1242 nucleotides) under Equus caballus (horse). Its description in RNAcentral is "lncRNA (ENSECAG00000028136.2)". Lineage: Eukaryota; Metazoa; Chordata; Mammalia; Perissodactyla; Equidae. The record is from RNAcentral.
GGACAAUCCAUCCACUCAUUCUUCCUUUUUUUCUUUCUUCAACAAAUAUUUAUUGAGCCUCUAUUAAGCGCCAGGUAUUCUUCUAGGACUGGGAUAUGGCAGGGAACAAGAUGAAGCAUUUUCUUCCAUGGGGUUUAUAGUCUAGCGCAGGGGUUGCCCAACUUUUCCAUAAACGUCCGGACAAUAAAUAUUUUAGGCUUUAUGGGCCACACAGCCUCUGUGACAACUACUUAACUCUGCCAUCAUAGGUGCCAAAGCUGUCAUAGAAAGACAAACAAAUGACCAUGGUUGUGUUCCAAUAAAAUUUUAUUUAUUAAAACAGAUGGCAAGACAAUUUGUCCUUUAAGCCAUGGCUUGCCAACCUCUGUUCUAAGUGGAAGGGGAAAGGAAAUGUCUAAGAUCGUUUCAGGACGUGAUAAUGCCUCGAAGAAACGUAAAGCUGGUCGAGGCCAUAGAAGGAAAUGAGGUGGGGGAGCCGCUAUUUCAGAAUGUUUGAGGUCUUCCUAAUGAAACGAAGCAAAGGAGCGCAUGAAGUGAGGCUGUCAGAGAGGAUGGGAUCCGGCACACGGUGGAAGGCUUGACUCGAAACAAGAGCCUGGACAAUUACUCUCUUAUAAUAGGAAAGAAGGCAAAAUAUAACAUUACAGAGGCAGGAACAAGAUAUAGCCAAUAUGACUCACGGCAGGUGAGAGGACACAGCUGGAGAAGAGCAAGUCCAGGCUUCCGCUUCCCUUGGGUGGCUGACUUCUAGAUCUGCAAUGCUUAAUCAUAAAAAAAAGGAAGCAAUGGUUGAGGACAUUAAAUGAGAAAUGUGUCUUCAAAGUACCUCGCCUGAAGAGCCAAGAUAAUUUACCAAGCCCGGAAAAGGGCAAGAGCACAUCAGGAUCAGGAUGGACACAACAGAGCUCAGUCUUGAGAAACAAUCGCAGGUUUGCUCUUUGUCUUAUUUUACGUUUCUGAACAAUCGCAGACUAAAUUUCAAAAACUUGACUAGGAUAUCAGCUAUCCUUUCUAUUGCAAACUCUAGUUGUUUUGCAUCAUUUCGAUCCAUGGACCAAAACGCAGAUAAAAAGGUUUCCUUCUCUAUGACAACUAAGCAACAAAGAAUUAUUUCUUCGUAAAAGAAGAGUUUCACACAGCUACAUUUUUUAUCAUUUAAGACCAAAUUCCUUUCAUUCUUCCUAAAUAAUCCAAAUAAUAACCAACACUAAUAAUGCUCCAGGCGUUACUCCUACUGCCCUC